UAAACGUGAAGGCUAGAAAUCACUUUAAAAAACGGGGCCCAACUGAAAAGCCAUAUGAGUAGGAAAACU
Lutibacter flavus is the source of this 69-nucleotide non-coding RNA. NCBI's taxonomy places the organism in Bacteria, Pseudomonadati, Bacteroidota, Flavobacteriia, Flavobacteriales, Flavobacteriaceae. The record is from Rfam.